AGCAUUGGAACAAUGGGGACCGACUCCAGCAGGACGACUAUUCAGCAGCAGAGCACAUGGUCCAUGAGGAUUUGCCUGUUGCAGAAUCAUCAGUUGCUUUUCAACUGCCGGCAAGCUGAACCUGUUAAAACAUGGCAGGUUCCAAAGGGCCUGACUGCUGCUGGCUUUGUCGCAUACUUAACGUCAAUUUACCCCCAAAUGGAGAGGAGAAACUUUCAGUUCUGCAAAGUUAACCGCCAUAGGGUCCUGAUCUCCCUUGAGGAGAAAACCCCUGAACAAUUACGGUCCAGUGGAGUGUUGGGUCGUUCGGCUCUAUACAUUCGCCCUGAGGUUAAGUAUUGUUCUUUAUUGAAUUUUUCUGUUGUU
Gadus macrocephalus (Pacific cod) is the source of this 366-nucleotide long non-coding RNA. RefSeq lists it as uncharacterized. The transcript has 3 exons. NCBI's taxonomy places the organism in Eukaryota, Metazoa, Chordata, Actinopteri, Gadiformes, Gadidae. The record is from RefSeq and is a predicted model, not a curated record.